GUAGUCCACGCCCUAAACGAUGUCUACUUGCUGUUGGGUGUAAAAGCUUAGUAGCGAAGCUAACGCGAGAAGUAGACCGCCUGGGGAGUACGGUCGCAAGAUUAAAACUCAAAGGAAUUGACGGGGACCCGCACAAGCGGUGGAUGAUGUGGAUUAAUUCGAUGCAACGCGAAGAACCUUACCUGCUCUUGACAUGCUAGGAAGAUUUCAGAGAUGAGAUUGUGCCUUCGGGAACCUAGACACAGGUGCUGCAUGGCUGUCGUCAGCUCGUGUCGUGAGAUGUUGUCUUAAGUGACGCAACGAGCGCAACCCUUACUACUAGUUGCCCUAAUUAAGUUUGGAACUCUAGUGGGACUGCCGGUGCUAAGCCGGA
Molecule: ribosomal RNA, 373 nt
Filed under: uncultured bacterium
Lineage: Bacteria
Description: bacterial SSU rRNA
Rfam family: Bacterial small subunit ribosomal RNA
Source: RNAcentral